Molecule: long non-coding RNA, 534 nt
Organism: Cucumis melo (muskmelon)
Lineage: Eukaryota; Viridiplantae; Streptophyta; Magnoliopsida; Cucurbitales; Cucurbitaceae
Exons: 3
Source: RefSeq, a predicted model, not a curated record
AUAAGUUGCAAAAGAUAGGAAGGUGAAGCAAAAUGUAAUUGGUGAAUUACAGAAAAUAAAACUUCUCCUCAUUUUUUCUCUUCUAAGAAAGAUUCCUAAUCUCCAUGGGUUCCCACAAGCCAAAAACCUUAAACUAGUUAGAGGUUGGUUUUCAAUUGGUGGCGUCCCUCUAAUUUUGAAGAAGAAUACAAUACCUAAUCUUGCAUCCCAAGGAGAACAUUUUUUGUCAGAGACUACAACGUGAAUAAGUAUGUGAGACCCAUACCUAAGAAGGGCUAGUAUUUAACUAUUAAAGAGAAAGCGUUUUGACAUGGGCUAGGCGAUAAGAAGCUGGUGUUUGAAGUUUAUUGCAAGAUGAAGAGUUAGGUUACCAAGCAUUAAGGUCAAAGUAAGGAAAGGGUAAGGGGCUUGCUAGGCGAGAAGAGGCUGCCAAGGCGUUUAGCUUAAGUUAAUGUUUUGUUUAUGUAAUUUCGCUAGGUGUUGUAGAGUGUUGUAAACGUAUGACUUAAGUAAUACAAGUUUAAAAAUUGGUUA